ACGGGGCCCGCACAAGCGGUGGAGCAUGUGGUUAAUUCGACGCAACGCGAAGAACCUUACCAGGGCUUGACAUCCCCUGACCGCGUAUGAAAGUACGUUUUCACCCUCGGGUGACAGGGAGACAGGUGGUGCAUGGUUGUCGUCAGCUCGUGUCGUGAGAUGUUGGGUUAAGUCCCGCAACGAGCGCAACCCCUACGUUUAGUUGCUAACGCGUGAAGGCGAGCACUCUAGACGAACUGCCGUUGACAAAACGGAGGAAGGUGGGAUGACGUCAAAUCAUCAUGCCCCUUAUGUUCUGGGCUACACACGUGCUACAAUGGCCGGUACAGACGGACGCAAAGCCGCGAGGCGGAGCAAAUCCGAAAAAGCCGGUCUCAGUUCGGAUUGCAGGCUGCAAUUCGCCUGCAUGAGGUCGGAAUCGCUAGUAAUCGCAGGUCAGCAUACUGCGGUGAAUACGUUCCCGGGCCUU
This 469-nucleotide ribosomal RNA is filed under the name uncultured Bacillus sp. RNAcentral describes it as "bacterial SSU rRNA". It matches the Rfam family "Bacterial small subunit ribosomal RNA", at positions 916 to 1381 of the family's 1533-position model. The record is from RNAcentral. Lineage: Bacteria; Bacillati; Bacillota; Bacilli; Caryophanales; Bacillaceae.